UACAGAGGGGGCAAGCGUUAUUCGGAAUUAUUGGGCGUAAAGGGCGCGUAGGCGGCUUGGCAAGUGGAAGGUGAAAUCCCCGGGCUCAACCCGGGAACUGCGUCCGAUACUGGAAGGCUUGAAUCCGGGAGAGGGAUGCGGAAUUCCAGGUGUAGCGGUGAAAUGCGUAGAUAUCUGGAGGAACACCGGUGGCGAAGGCGGCAUCCUGGACCGGCAUUGACGCUGAGGCGCGAAAGCCAGGGGAGCAAACGGG
RNAcentral lists this ribosomal RNA (253 nucleotides) under uncultured bacterium. Its description in RNAcentral is "partial 16S ribosomal RNA". It matches the Rfam family "Bacterial small subunit ribosomal RNA", at positions 524 to 776 of the family's 1533-position model. The record is from RNAcentral.